Molecule: ribosomal RNA, 681 nt
Filed under: Arthrobacter sp.
Lineage: Bacteria; Bacillati; Actinomycetota; Actinomycetes; Micrococcales; Micrococcaceae
Description: bacterial SSU rRNA
Rfam family: Bacterial small subunit ribosomal RNA
Source: RNAcentral
CCCUUACUCCUACGGGAGGCAGCAGUGGGGAAUAUUGCACAAUGGGCGAAAGCCUGAUGCAGCGACGCCGCGUGAGGGAUGACGGCCUUCGGGUUGUAAACCUCUUUCAGUAGGGAAGAAGCGAAAGUGACGGUACCUGCAGAAGAAGCGCCGGCUAACUACGUGCCAGCAGCCGCGGUAAUACGUAGGGCGCAAGCGUUAUCCGGAUUUAUUGGGCGUAAAGAGCUCGUAGGCGGUUUGUCGCGUCUGCCGUGAAAGUCCGAGGCUCAACCUCGGAUCUGCGGUGGGUACGGGCAGACUAGAGUGAUGUAGGGGAGACUGGAAUUCCUGGUGUAGCGGUGAAAUGCGCAGAUAUCAGGAGGAACACCGAUGGCGAAGGCAGGUCUCUGGGCAUUUACUGACGCUGAGGAGCGAAAGCAUGGGGAGCGAACAGGAUUAGAUACCCUGGUAGUCCAUGCCGUAAACGUUGGGCACUAGGUGUGGGGAACAUUCCACGUUUUCCGCGCCGUAGCUAACGCAUUAAGUGCCCCGCCUGGGGAGUACGGCCGCAAGGCUAAAACUCAAAGGAAUUGACGGGGGCCCGCACAAGCGGCGGAGCAUGCGGAUUAAUUCGAUGCAACGCGAAGAACCUUACCAAGGCUUGACAUGUGCCAGACCGCUCUAGAGAUGGAGUCCCCUUUG